RNAcentral lists this unclassified non-coding RNA (348 nucleotides) under soil metagenome. RNAcentral describes it as "partial contains 5.8S ribosomal RNA, internal transcribed spacer 2, and large subunit ribosomal RNA". The stretch from base 1 to 119 matches the Rfam family "5.8S ribosomal RNA", at positions 35 to 154 of the family's 154-position model. The record is from RNAcentral.
GAUGAAGAACGUAGCGAAAUGCGAUACGUAAUGUGAAUUGCAAAUUCAGUGAAUCAUCGAGUCUUUGAACGCACAUUGCGCCCCCUGGUAUUCCGGGGGGCAUGCCUGUCCGAGCGUCAUUGCUGCCCUCAAGCACGGCUUGUGUGUUGGGCCCCGUCCUCCGAUCCCGGGGGACGGGCCCGAAAGGCAGCGGCGGCACCGCGUCCGGUCCUCGAGCGUAUGGGGCUUUGUCACCCGCUCUGUAGGCCCGGCCGGCGCCCGCCGGCGACACCCAAAUCAAUCUAUCCAGGUUGACCUCGGAUCAGGUAGGGAUACCCGCUGAACUUAAGCAUAUCAAUAAGCGGAGGA